Lentinula edodes (shiitake mushroom) is the source of this 87-nucleotide non-coding RNA. The record is from the annotation of a RefSeq genome assembly. NCBI's taxonomy places the organism in Eukaryota, Fungi, Basidiomycota, Agaricomycetes, Agaricales, Omphalotaceae.
UCCCUGGUAGUAUAUCGGUUAGUACACGCGCCUGUCAUUGUAUUCGAUCUUCCGCGCGAAAGCUGGGUUCGACUCCCAGCCAGGGAG